This 816-nucleotide ribosomal RNA is filed under the name Sarocladium strictum. RNAcentral describes it as "eukaryotic LSU rRNA". It matches the Rfam family "Eukaryotic large subunit ribosomal RNA", at positions 40 to 885 of the family's 3401-position model. The record is from RNAcentral. Lineage: Eukaryota; Fungi; Ascomycota; Sordariomycetes; Hypocreales; Sarocladiaceae.
AUAUCAAUAAGCGGAGGAAAAGAAACCAACAGGGAUUGCCUCAGUAACGGCGAGUGAAGCGGCAACAGCUCAAAUUUGAAAUCUGGCCUCACGGUCCGAGUUGUAAUUUGUAGAGGAUGCUUUUGGCGAGGUGCUUUCCGAGUUCCCUGGAACGGGACGCCAUAGAGGGUGAGAGCCCCGUACGGUAAGACCACCGAGCCUCUGUAAAGCUCCUUCGACGAGUCGAGUAGUUUGGGAAUGCUGCUCUAAAUGGGAGGUGUACGUCUUCUAAAGCUAAAUACCGGCCAGAGACCGAUAGCGCACAAGUAGAGUGAUCGAAAGAUGAAAAGCACUUUGAAAAGAGGGUUAAAAAGUACGUGAAAUUGUUGAAAGGGAAGCAUUCAUGACCAGACUUGGGCUUGGUUGAACAUCCGGCGUUCUCGCCGGUGCACUCUGCCAGUCCAGGCCAGCAUCAGUUUGCCCCGGGGGACAAAGGCGGUGGGAAUGUGGCUCUCUUCGGGGAGUGUUAUAGCCCGCCGUGUAAUGCCCUGGGGCGGACUGAGGAACGCGCUUCGGCACGGAUGCUGGCGUAAUGGUCAUCAAUGACCCGUCUUGAAACACGGACCAAGGAGUCGUCUUCGUAUGCGAGUGUUCGGGUGUCAAACCCCUACGCGUAAUGAAAGUGAACGUAGGUGAGAGCUUCGGCGCAUCACCGACCGAUCCUGAUGUUCUCGGAUGGAUUUGAGUAAGAGCAUACGGGGCCGGACCCGAAAGAAGGUGAACUAUGCCUGUAUAGGGUGAAGCCAGAGGAAACUCUGGUGGAGGCUCGCAGCGGUU